Molecule: long non-coding RNA, 373 nt
Filed under: Mytilus galloprovincialis (Mediterranean mussel)
Lineage: Eukaryota; Metazoa; Mollusca; Bivalvia; Mytilida; Mytilidae
Source: RNAcentral
UUGAAAGAGUUAGUAGAAUGAAAUUCAAAACAGUGUGGCUGUGGCCAUUGAUUGACACAUUAAAUUCAUCCAUUGACUGGGACAAUUUAUGUAAACGUUUGUCUGUAUCGACCACUGUUCACGACGUACCUACGAUAGACAUUUAAACUGUGGGGUCACCAAAGGUUUCUUAACGCCUUUAAUUAUAAAAUAAUUCGAAAAAUUAAUCAGGAAUAACCUUUAUGUUUUGAUAUAUAUAAUUGAUAUAAAUCAAAACAUCGUGUUAUUUCUGAUUAAUUUUUCGAAUUACUUUAUUAAGGUGUUGAAAACCUUUGGUGACCCCAUAGUUUAAGUGUCUUUAAAAAGUACAUAGUAAGCAGUGGUCGUUGCAUAC